UGAGCUAGCUGGAUAAUCGCUCUUUAUUGAGAGGAAAGUCCGGGCUCCAAUGGACAAGACGCCAGGUAACCCCUGGGAGAUGUAAAUCUACGGAAAGUGCAGCAGAAAAUAAACCGCCUACAAUGUGGGUAAGGGUGAAAAGGUGUGGUAAGAGCACACCGC
Molecule: RNase P RNA, 162 nt
Filed under: Gammaproteobacteria bacterium
Lineage: Bacteria; Pseudomonadati; Pseudomonadota; Gammaproteobacteria
Description: partial RNase P RNA component class A
Rfam family: Bacterial RNase P class A
About the family: Ribonuclease P (RNase P) is a ubiquitous endoribonuclease, found in archaea, bacteria and eukarya as well as chloroplasts and mitochondria. Its best characterised activity is the generation of mature 5'-ends of tRNAs by cleaving the 5'-leader elements of precursor-tRNAs.
Source: RNAcentral